Molecule: long non-coding RNA, 796 nt
Organism: Acanthochromis polyacanthus (spiny chromis)
Lineage: Eukaryota; Metazoa; Chordata; Actinopteri; Pomacentridae
Exons: 8
Source: RefSeq, a predicted model, not a curated record
UUUGACCAAUGAAAGUGAAAAGAAGUUGCCAUGACUACAGCUGAGUCACAACAACCCAGUCUGAAGUACGGCAUUUAUGUGUGAUAAAGUUGAGCAAUAAAGAGUAAGAUCCAGAACAGCGCCAGACGGCAGAAUAAAGUUCAGAGAUGGCUUCACCACAGCCUGGUCCGGUUGAAGAAGGAAAAGUCUGAGAUUUUGAAGACUGAGAAGGUCGUUACUGGAAAGAACAAAUUUAUCAAACUGCUUGCAGACAAGUAUGAGGCAGAAAUUUGCAGCCAUGAAGCACUUAUCAUGGAUUUUGAGAAGAAAUCUGCAGAUGCAAAAACCCAUUUUGCAGAAGCUACAAAGGCUAAAGCAGAGUUGGAUGCUGUGAUUGAGAAGCUAACUGGUGGGACACUUGAAAGUGAAUUCGCUGAGGUAGAGGCAAUCCUGAAUAAUUAUAAGAGUUACAAGAACCUUCUUUUCAAUCUGUUGCUUCCACAGACAGUAGUUAGCAAGGGUCCGGAGAGAGAUUUGGAGUCCAGUCCACGUCGAGUGCUGCCUUCCACCAAAAACCCCACACUGUCCUCAGCCUCCAGCAACACUCUGGUUGCAGAUUCUACCCUGGAUGUGAGCAGCACAGAAUAUGAGGAGUACUAUUCGAAUCCCCAGCAGCUGAUGAGUCUGCUAUCAGACUUGACAAACCAGAACCUGUCACAGAUUAAGAACUCCACCGCUAUGGAUAACGUGCUGGAGCACGCCGUUGAGUUAGCCUCAGAGAAAAUGUGAGAAUCGUAUACAGUAUAUCUUGAGAAAA